RNAcentral lists this unclassified non-coding RNA (200 nucleotides) under Lophodermium sp. Its description in RNAcentral is "partial internal transcribed spacer 2". The record is from RNAcentral. Lineage: Eukaryota; Fungi; Ascomycota; Leotiomycetes; Rhytismatales; Rhytismataceae.
UUAAGUUCAGCGGGUAUCCCUACCUGAUCCGAGGUCAACCUUGUAAAAAAAGGGGGUUGUCAUAGCGCCUAGGCCUCUCCUUCCAGCGACGAGUAGUACUGCGCUAGAGGUCGGGCUGUGGCCGCCACUGAUUUGAGGCAAGCCCUAGAGGGCGAGCCCAACACCAAGCGGAGCUUGAGGGUUGUAAUGACGCUCGAACA